GCUAGGCAUGGUGGUGCAUGCCUGUAAUCCCAGCAUCCCAGGAGACUGAGGCAGGAGGAUCACAUGAUGAAAGCCAGCCUCAG
This 83-nucleotide small RNA is filed under the name Marmota monax (woodchuck). Lineage: Eukaryota; Metazoa; Chordata; Mammalia; Rodentia; Sciuridae. The record is from RNAcentral.